Molecule: transfer RNA, 72 nt
Filed under: Camelus ferus (Wild Bactrian camel)
Lineage: Eukaryota; Metazoa; Chordata; Mammalia; Artiodactyla; Camelidae
Rfam family: tRNA
About the family: Transfer RNA (tRNA) molecules are approximately 80 nucleotides in length.
Source: Rfam by way of RNAcentral
GAGGGUAUAGCUCAGUAGUAGAGUGCAUGCCUAGCAUGCACAAGGGCCUGGGUUCAAUCCCUAGUACCUCCC